RNAcentral lists this ribosomal RNA (439 nucleotides) under uncultured bacterium. RNAcentral describes it as "partial 16S ribosomal RNA". It matches the Rfam family "Bacterial small subunit ribosomal RNA", at positions 339 to 795 of the family's 1533-position model. The record is from RNAcentral.
CUACGGGCCGCUCCAGUGGGGAAUAUUGCACAAUGGAGGAAACUCUGAUGCAGCAACGCCGCGUGGAGGAUGACACUUUUCGGAGCGUAAACUCCUUUUAUAUAGGAAGAAGAUGACGGUACUAUAUGAAUAAGCGCCGGCUAACUCCGUGCCAGCAGCCGCGGUAAUACGGAGGGCGCAAGCGUUACUCGGAAUCACUGGGCGUAAAGAGCGUGUAGGCGGAUUAAAAAGUCAGAAGUGAAAUCCUAUAGCUUAACUAUAGAACUGUUUCUGAAACUCUUAAUCUAGAAUAUGGGAGAGGUAGAUGGAAUUCCUGGUGUAGGGGGAAAAUCCGUAGAGAUCAGAAGGAAUACCGAUUGCGAAGGCGAUCUACUAGAACAUUAUUGACGCUGAGACGCGAAAGCGUGGGGAGCAAACAGGAUUAGAUACCCCGGUAGUC